GUCCACGCCGUAAACGAUGUUCACUAGGUGUUGGGGGUAUUGACCCCCUCAGUGCCGGAGCUAACGCAUUAAGUGAACCGCCUGGGGAGUACGGUCGCAAGACUAAAACUCAAAGGAAUUGACGGGGGCCCGCACAAGCGGUGGAGCAUGUGGUUUAAUUCGAUGCAACGCGAAGAACCUUACCUGGGCUUGACAUCCACGGAACCUACUGGAAACAGUGGGGUGCCUUUCGGGGAGCCGUGAGACAGGUGCUGCAUGGCUGUCGU
This 266-nucleotide ribosomal RNA is filed under the name uncultured bacterium. Its description in RNAcentral is "partial 16S ribosomal RNA". It matches the Rfam family "Bacterial small subunit ribosomal RNA", at positions 793 to 1055 of the family's 1533-position model. The record is from RNAcentral.